UGAGACAGUGGUUAACCUUCAUCCUAAAAAUCAAAUGCUAACAAUAAUUUUAAGUCAUAAAAAUAAAAUCAAUAAAAAAAGUGUGUUAAAAUGGACCAUUUAGAAUAAAUAAUUAAAAUAAAAUAUUAAUAUUAAAAAAUACAAAAAUAAAAAUUAUAUAAAAUUAAAUAAAACGUUAAGAAAAGUGAAAAAUAUUUUUGGAUAAUUUUAUGGAUGAAGAAAAUAUUUUAAAUAAGAAAAAGAAAUAUGAAAAUGGAA
RNAcentral lists this long non-coding RNA (258 nucleotides) under Lathyrus oleraceus (garden pea). RNAcentral describes it as "Pisum sativum (pea) long non-coding RNA (PSAT_LNC030204)". The record is from RNAcentral. Lineage: Eukaryota; Viridiplantae; Streptophyta; Magnoliopsida; Fabales; Fabaceae.